AUGUCGUUCGCCGGCGUAUCCGUCAUUGCUGGCAGUGGCGGCAGGCUGCCGCGGCUGUCGGCGGAAUCGGACAUGAUCUACUCCGGCUCCAGCGCAGCCAGCAGAGGCAGCUGCUACUAUCACCUGCUUGUGGUGGAAGGUUACUCCCGCAUCAAAGACCUGCCCAAUGGAGGGACAAUCAUGGGUCGCACAUUCAAAGCUGGAGGCUAUCAAUGGGUUCUGAGGUUCCAUCCCAAUGGUUAUGCCCCGGAGGAUGUCGGUUCCAUCUCGGUUUAUCUUGUGCUUGACCAGGAUGUUGCACGGCCCGUGAAGGUGCAUCUCCAGUUUAGUUUGGUUGAUGAGGUUAGCAAGCAAGAUCAAGCAUUCAUCCGUGCAAUCAAAGCGUGCGACUUCUCUGGCAGUGGCUCUACUUGGGGCCGCAGUUGUUUCAUAAAAGGAGAGGACCUUGAGAAGUCAGAUCAUCUCAAGGAUGAUUGUUUCACCAUCCGGUGUGAUUUCAUCAUCGCCGAAGCUGCUGCUGCUGCUCCCUUGGUAAAGGUGCCGUCAUCUAACAUAAGCGAGCAUCUGAGCCAUCUCUUAGUGACGGAGGUGGGCGCCGAUGUGACGUUCGAGGUCGGCCAUGAGAUGUUCGCCGCCCACCGGUGUGUGCUCGCGUCCCGUUCCGCCGUAUUCAUGGCACAGCUCUUUGGCCCCAUGAAGGAGGGGACCACGGCGGCCGCCAUACAAAUACAAGACAUGGAACCGGACAUCUUCAAGGCACUGCUUGGUUUCAUCUACACUGACUUGAUGCCAGAGAUGGAGGCGGAAAGAGAAGCAGAAGUAGAAGAAGGUGGAGCUGAUGAGGUUACGUGGCUGCGCCACUUGCUUGCCGCGGCGGAUAGGUUUGAUCUCCAGAGGCUCAAGUCGAUGUGUGAAGAGAGGUUGUUGGAGCACAUAGAUUUGAGCUCGGUGUCGGCCAUCCUUGCUGUGGCAGCGCAGCUCCAAUGCUGUGGACUUAAGGAGGCGUGCCUGGAGUUCCUCAAGGUUCAGUCAGCUGCAGACUUGGGACAAGUAAUGGCGACCAGUGACUGGGAGCACAUAGGUGCAACCGAUCACUCCGUUCUGAACCAGCUCAUUGCCAAGCUUGCUUCCAAAGUUUAG
RNAcentral lists this ribosomal RNA (1140 nucleotides) under Triticum aestivum (bread wheat). Its description in RNAcentral is "partial small subunit ribosomal RNA". Lineage: Eukaryota; Viridiplantae; Streptophyta; Magnoliopsida; Poales; Poaceae. The record is from RNAcentral.